GGGUUCGAGUUCUGGCUCAGGACGAACGCUGGCGGCGUGCUUCAUACAUGCAAGUCGAACGAGAAAUCAACUUCGGUUGGUGGAAAGUGGCGGACGGGUGAGUAACACGUAGGUAACCUGCCUUUCAGUUUGGGAUACCCAGAGGAAACUUUGGCUAGUACCGGAUAACUGGUCUGGAGGCAUCUCCGGAUCCUAAAAGGGGCUCCAAAGCCUCGCUGAUUGAUGGACCUGCGGCGCAUUAGCUAGUUGGUGAGAUAACAGCCCACCAAGGCGAGGAUGCGUAGCCGACCUGAGAGGGUGAACGGCCACACUGGAACUGAGACACGGUCCAGACUCCUACGGGAGGCAGCAGUAGGGAGUUUUCGGCAAUGGGGGAAACCCUGACCGAGCAACGCCGCGUGAGUGAUGACGGCCUUCGGGUUGUAAAGCUCUGUUGUAAGGGAAGAAUGAUACGGUGAGGAAAUGCUCCGUAUUUGACGGUACCUUAUUAGAAAGCCACGGCUAACUACGUGCCAGCAGCUGC
This 523-nucleotide ribosomal RNA is filed under the name uncultured bacterium. RNAcentral's name for it is "bacterial SSU rRNA". It matches the Rfam family "Bacterial small subunit ribosomal RNA", at positions 9 to 518 of the family's 1533-position model. The record is from RNAcentral.